RNAcentral lists this non-coding RNA (28 nucleotides) under Homo sapiens (human). The record is from RNAcentral. Lineage: Eukaryota; Metazoa; Chordata; Mammalia; Primates; Hominidae.
UGGACACUAUAUUCUAUACCCUUACCCU